Molecule: ribosomal RNA, 481 nt
Filed under: uncultured bacterium
Lineage: Bacteria
Description: bacterial SSU rRNA
Rfam family: Bacterial small subunit ribosomal RNA
Source: RNAcentral
ACGCGAAGAACCUUACCUACUCUUGACAUCCAGAGAAUUNNNNAGANAUAGCUUAGUGCCUUCGGGAACUCUGAGACAGGUGCUGCAUGGCUGUCGUCAGCUCGUGUUGUGAAAUGUUGGGUUAAGUCCCGCAACGAGCGCAACCCUUAUCCUUAUUUGCCAGCACGUAAUGGUGGGAACUCUAGGGAGACUGCCGGUGAUAAACCGGAGGAAGGUGGGGACGACGUCAAGUCAUCAUGGCCCUUACGAGUAGGGCUACACACGUGCUACAAUGGCGAGUACAGAGGGUUGCAAAGCCGCGAGGUGGAGCUAAUCUCACAAAGCUCGUCGUAGUCCGGAUUGGAGUCUGCAACUCGACUCCAUGAAGUCGGAAUCGCUAGUAAUCGUGGAUCAGAAUGCCACGGUGAAUACGUUCCCGGGCCUUGUACACACCGCCCGUCACACCAUGGGAGUGGGCUGCAAAAGAAGUGGGUAGCUNANC